Molecule: ribosomal RNA, 247 nt
Filed under: uncultured bacterium
Lineage: Bacteria
Description: partial 16S ribosomal RNA
Rfam family: Bacterial small subunit ribosomal RNA
Source: RNAcentral
AUACGUAGGGUGCGAGCGUUAAUCGGAAUUACUGGGCGUAAAGCGUGCGCAGGCGGUUCGUUAAGUCUGAUGUGAAAGCCCCGGGCUCAACCUGGGAAUGGCAUUGGAAACUGGCGGGCUGGAGUGUGGCAGAGGGGGGUGGAAUUCCGCGUGUAGCAGUGAAAUGCGUAGAGAUGCGGAGGAACACCGAUGGCGAAGGCAGCCCCCUGGGCUGACACUGACGCUCAGGCACGAAAGCGUGGGGAGC